ACUAGGGCAAAUGGUACAAUGGAUUUAACAUUUUGGUAGAUAUUGAAGACUUUUUCUACAUGGCGCCAGCAACAAUAAAAACACGAAUCAAUAGUAAAUAAUAACAUUUUUCCCCAACCUUGCUGACAUCAGAUAUUUUCAAGUAUCUCAAUUUUUGACUGUUUGAAAAGUGGAAAAUGAAUCUCACCAUCGCUUUAAUUUUCUUUUAUUUAAUUAUGACUAAGGCUGAUGUUUAUUGACCACAUAUUUCUUUGUGUGUAAAUGUACCUGUACUUUGUUUUUCUCAUUGCGAUUUUUACUUAUUGUUUUGUAGGACUGUUUCACUUGUUUUCUUUUUUUUCCUUAUGACGUGAUCCUCUAAAAACAUAGCCUCUUCAUUAAAAAAAUAUAAAGGCAAAAUCUUCACUUGGUAGGAAAUGUCAAAAUUCAUGCACCUAAUUUUUCCUGAACCAAGGCUGAGAUAUGAAAGUGUCUGCACCAUCUGGUUUUGUGGAAUGGGUUUUGAAAAGUCACCUAGAUUUCUAUGUCAGCAGUACAGAAUGGUUUCUCCAGAAAACUGGUGUUAAAUAUGUCAGCAACAGAAAUCCAGGUGAUAUUUCUUAACUAGUGACUAUAUCUCUAUUCUGAGUUUGUACAGGAAUCACCUAGGAAUCAUUUUUAAACUAGUAAUGCCCAAGCCUCGUUUUAGGCAUACUGAGUUAGAACUUCUAGUGGAUGAGAUGUUUAAUUUUCCGUUAAGACAGGAUAAAAGGCAGAAUUGGAAGUUCAGUAAGAGUAUGGACCUUUUCCAAGCUUAGACGUCUACUAAGAGACAGCACUUGGACUAGCUCUGUUACUCUGGCCCCUUGUCGAGUAUGUCUUUGUUCCUUGUCUUAUGCAUUUUAGGGCACUGUUAGUAUUUCUGAGUAUAUAUUGAUAUGGUUUGGCUUUGUAUCCCAUCUGAAUCUCAUCUUGAAUUCUAAUCCCAUAAUCCCCCAAUGUCAUGGGAGAGACAUGGUGGGAGGUAAUUGAACCAUGUGGGCGGUUACCCCAAUUCUGUUCACGGGACAGUGAGUGAGUUCUCAGGAGACCUGAUGGUUUUAUAAGGGGCUCCUCCCUUUGCUUGGCACUUCUCAUUCCUGACAUCAUGUAAAUGACAUAUUUGCAUCCCCUUCUGACAUGAUUGUAAGUUUCCUGAGGGCCUCUUUAGCCAUGCUUAACUGUGAAUCCGUUAAACUUCUUUUCUUUAUAAAUUACCCAGUCUUGAGUAAUUAUUAGCAGUGUGAGAAGGAACUAAUACAUAUACUAAACAGAGAGAGAAAAUUUGGGAUUUUGGGGGGUGCUC
Molecule: long non-coding RNA, 1324 nt
Filed under: Callithrix jacchus (white-tufted-ear marmoset)
Lineage: Eukaryota; Metazoa; Chordata; Mammalia; Primates; Cebidae
Description: lncRNA (ENSCJAG00000077174.1)
Source: RNAcentral